UAGGCAGGGCCAUGUACUCUACAUCGGUGCUGUUUGGCUGCACCGCCGUUGGCACGUUGGUGGUCUUGAAGAUAGUUGUUACCCCCCGUGCGUUUCGAAUUAUCGCCACCGGUGUAGUCGUCGGCGCUGUUGGCGGAGAAAUGCUGACGUACAUGAACUACCUGCGCCACCACUCGAUCGCCGCCAAUUACCGGCCACUGGGACUUACAUCGCCGCCCCCCAACUUUGCCGUUAUGCAGCCUCUUCUCUACAAGCACCUUUCCGAAGAGUACGAAAGCCGCGGAGAGCUGGAGCUCGGAGAGGAAUCUAUCACGGUGCAACCGAAUGUGUUUGCACAGAUUGGCAUCAUCGACGUGAACGGCGUCCGCCAAAUGUGGACGAAGGCAAUUAUUCCCGCUCUCCUUGAUGGGCGGAAAAGAGAGCUCCUCGAAAGCGAGGGUGAAUCCCAAGCUGAUCUGGAGGCCAGUAUUGUGUUUUGUGAUAUUGGCAGUGGAGUCGGUAACGUUUGUUUGCAGGUACUUUCUGAGACCAAGUGUCUGAAGAGCGUUGGUGUAGAGAUCAUUCCGUCGCGAAUCCGGGCAGCUGAAGAGGCAUCGAAGCGAGCAAAGCUGCUUUACUCAGACAUUUUCUCCAAAAAGGAAGUUGUGUGGGUGCAGGGGGACCUGGUGAAGUGUGCAGCAAGGCUGAAGGAGGAGGGAGUUACCGUUCUUUUUACGCACUCAUGGAUGUUUGACGACGAUCUCAUGACGAAAUUGACGAACGUCAUCGCUCAAGUCCCUAGCAUUCAGUGUGUCGUGACUUCUCGUAAGCUCGACGAAAAGGUGCUUGCUUCCACCACGCUGCGGCAGCGGACCUUGAUGCACUUCAACGCAGAUUGGAACGACGAAGCACCCUUCUACGUUUAUGGUAAGUAAUCGCUCAGCGCUUAACUAGUACGCUCUACAUCUUUGCCUGACACUUUCAACGGCAAAGUAACAGUUUGAACCAUCCGCAUUUGGCCACAUCCAUGAAAAGCUAUGUGACGUCUGAACUAUUUUUCGCUGCGUGUCGUGAUACACUUUUUUUUUUGUUCGUCCUUAGGAAGCUCUGUUAUGCACGGAAUGCGUGUUUACUGACAAGCGCCACGCUUUGUCAAAGUACUUUUU
RNAcentral lists this unclassified non-coding RNA (1145 nucleotides) under Leishmania donovani. RNAcentral's name for it is "gene:LdHU3.33.2790(CDS-product:Histone_methylatio n_protein_DOT1_putative)". Lineage: Eukaryota; Euglenozoa; Kinetoplastea; Trypanosomatida; Trypanosomatidae. The record is from RNAcentral.